AGCAGCCGCGGUAAUUCCAGCUCCAAUAGCGUAUAUUAAAGUUGUUGCAGUUAAAAAGCUCGUAGUUGAAUUUCGGGAUUGACACAUCGGUCGUGCCUUAAGGGGUACGAACUGGUGUAGUCAAUUUCUCACCUUCUGGAGAACCGCGAUGCCCUUAAUUGGGUGUCGCGGGGAACCAGGACCUUUACUUUGAAAAAAUUAGAGUGUUUAAAGCAGGCAUUUUGCUUGAAUACAUUAGCAUGGAAUAAUAAAAUAGGACGGCAUGAUUCUAUUUUGUUGGUUUCUAGGAUCACCGUAAUGAUUAAUAGGGAUAGUUGGGGGCAUUAGUAUUCAAUUGUCAGAGGUGAAAUUCUUGGAUUUAUUGAAGACUAACUACUGCGAAAGCAUUUGCCAAGGAUGUUUUCAUUAAUCAAGAACGAAAGUUAGGGGAUCGAAGACGAUCAGAUACCGUCGUAGUCUUAACCAUAAACUAUGCCGACUAGGAAUCAGACGAUGUUAAUUUUUAAUGACUCGUUUGGCA
Molecule: ribosomal RNA, 520 nt
Filed under: uncultured Entrophospora
Lineage: Eukaryota; Fungi; Glomeromycota; Glomeromycetes; Entrophosporales; Entrophosporaceae
Description: SSU rRNA
Rfam family: Eukaryotic small subunit ribosomal RNA
Source: RNAcentral